Long non-coding RNA from Vidua macroura (Pin-tailed whydah), 2181 nucleotides. RefSeq lists it as uncharacterized. The transcript is spliced from 4 exons. The record is from RefSeq and is a predicted model, not a curated record. Lineage: Eukaryota; Metazoa; Chordata; Aves; Passeriformes; Viduidae.
UUCUCUGGUGAAGGAUGACAAAUGAUCAGCUUGUGGGGACUGUGCGGGUUAUCAAACACCCAGAAAUAUUUGAGGGGGAAAAUUGCCUCCAAACACAGAUUAGUUUACUAAAAAUAGCAUCAGGAAUGACUCUUAUGUCAGAUGGUGUGGAAUGAUGUAAGAAACAAAGCCUGUUUGAGAGCCUCUAUUACAAGGGAUGUAUGGGAUGCUGCUGCAAUAAUAAUUUAUAUGGUUGCCUGCUAGCAGGUUGAUAUAUUUGUUACCUACAAAGAGUGUCCAUGCUCUUGGAGGGAAAAAGCUGAAAAUUUGUCAAAAACUUCUUUGGAAAAGACAAGAAAAUUUGUUCUCAAAUUCUGACAAAAUAGGUUGUCCAUUUCAGAAGGAGGGAGGGGCUCUCUAAGGAGAAUUUUAUUCCCAGUUGCUCCUUCUGUGAGGUUUCAUGGGCCAUGUUGACUUUGGGAGUGGAAGAGGACACAAGGUUUUCAAUUUGACUGUCAAGGUUUGGACAUGAAAUUCUGGUUGAACCGAAGGAGAUGAGACAGGCAAGCUUACACGUGCAGCUCCAGGAGGGUGGGAAAGACAUCCUGGAAGAACUGGAAAAUCACCCCUGGAAAUGAAGAAAAGGAGACAUGAAACAACUUUCAGAAUUGAUACUUGCUGUUCAGGUGUGAAAAUACAUGACUACAAUGAGGAUGCACUUUUUGAUUAAUAUUUUCAACUAAAAGCUAGCUGAAUGAUAAGUGGCAGGGGAAAGCACCAUGAUGUGGUUCCCAAGUCUGUGAACACACACUUAACAUGCCUCUGGACACAAGGGGUAAAAGAAGAUUGAGGUUGGCAUGAAGUAGCAAAAAAAACCAGCAUCUGCCUUUAGUCAGGGGAGCUGUUGCCAUCAUUAUCAAACAGAAAAUCCUAGGAAUUGGUUUUGCUCUCAGGACAUGUAGUGUUUGUUCUUAUAAACAGAAAUAUGUUUUAAGGUGUUCAUAUGUAGUGAAAGGGGUGACUGUGGGAGAAACUGGAAACCCACUUCAGAAAUCUUACUUACUCCUGUUUUCAAAGGGAGCUGAGUGCAAACUGGGACCAGAGGAGAUUUGUGGCUAAUUUGGGAUCCAAACAUGUACUCAGGGUCAAAGGCUGGUAAAAUUUCCUGGCAUUCGCUGACUCAGUAGCAAUGCAGAAGGUUUAUGGAAACACCCUUCACUGCGCAUUUUUCUGGCAAACAGAAGGGAUGGGUUCAUUUUCCUGGGAAGAUGACUCUAAAUUUUCUGUGGCAUUUCCCUGUAUUUGGAAAAACCACAUCCUCCUGUCAGGAGUGCUCCUGAGCCCCUUGCAGAACUGCUGGAGAGUUUCUGAGAGCCCAAAGCAGGGCUGACAGCCCUCCCACUGAAAAUUCUCAUGCUGAAGAAGCUGCUCAUCAACUCUGCCAUUUCAGCAAAUGACAUUCUCAAGGGUUUCUUCUUUUGGCCUUCUCUUUUAAUAGUAUUUUUUCUACGCUACCAGAGGUACUUUCUGUUCCCCAUUAAAUCUCCUGAAGUGUUGUUCUCCCCAGGGGGAAACAAGGAACCCAGAGAUGCUUCAGGAGGCUUCACAUGGUCCUUGCUGAUAUGCCAUGCAACAAGAUGUGUGGAUGUGGCAUUUGAAGACCUGGUUUAGUGGUGGACCUGGCAGAGCUGGACUCAAUGGUCUCAAGGGUCUCUCCCUAAUGAAAUGAUCCUGUGAUUCUAAGAUGAUGUGAGACCUCUGUAGAAGUGGACAAGCUGAUACAGACCUGGCUUUUCCUGGCAGCCUGCUCAGAAGGUGCAGCUGUGAAAGAGGAAACAUCUCCUGAUCUGACUUAUAUUAACAGUGACCCUCUGAGCCACUGUUAAAGCAGCAGAACAAAAGACAUCUGGGAGAGAUCUGCAGUCACCUGCUGUGACAGUGGGACACGGGGCUCUGAAAGCUCUGAUCCACUAUGCUUUCCACCUAUUUCUCUGGAGAAACCACUUCAGUGUGUGAAAAGGUGUUUAAAUAAAAAGCUGUGCUUCAUGUUAAAAAGGGAGGAAAUUCCCGUUUCCUUGCUUGUGUGCCAUCCUGUUGGUCCUGGGUCUGCCUGACAGAUGCAUUCCUCCCUGAAAACCUCCCUGCUAAUCGUGAGUAGCAGAUGCCAGUCUUCCUCAGCACAUGUUGGGAUGUAAUGUAGCC